GUGCUCACUUAGGCAGCACAUAUACUAACAUUGGAAUGCUACAGAGAAGAUUAGCACGGCCCCUGUGCACUGAUAACAUGCACAUUCAUGAAGCGUUCCAUAUUUUU
Small nuclear RNA from Chlorocebus sabaeus (green monkey), 107 nucleotides. Lineage: Eukaryota; Metazoa; Chordata; Mammalia; Primates; Cercopithecidae. The record is from Ensembl.